RNAcentral lists this ribosomal RNA (551 nucleotides) under uncultured bacterium. RNAcentral's name for it is "bacterial SSU rRNA". It matches the Rfam family "Bacterial small subunit ribosomal RNA", at positions 355 to 896 of the family's 1533-position model. The record is from RNAcentral.
UAGGGAAUCUUCGGCAAUGGACGGAAGUCUGACCGAGCAACGCCGCGUGAGUGAAGAAGGUUUUCGGAUCGUAAAGCUCUGUUGUAAGAGAAGAACGAGUGUGAGAGUGGAAAGUUCACACUGUGACGGUAUCUUACCAGAAAGGGACGGCUAACUACGUGCCAGCAGCCGCGGUAAUACGUAGGUCCCGAGCGUUAUCCGGAAUUAUUGGGCGUAAAGCGCGUGUAGGCGGUUUUUUAAGUCUGAUGUGAAAGCCCACGGCUCAACCGUGGAGGGUCAUUGGAAACUGGAAAACUUGAGUGCAGAAGAGGAAAGUGGAAUUCCAUGUGUAGCGGUGAAAUGCGCAGAGAUAUGGAGGAACACCAGUGGCGAAGGCGACUUUCUGGUCUGUAACUGACGCUGAUGUGCGAAAGCGUGGGGAUCAAACAGGAUUAGAUACCCUGGUAGUCCACGCCGUAAACGAUGAGUGCUAAGUGUUAGGGGGUUUCCGCCCCUUAGUGCUGCAGCUAACGCAUUAAGCACUCCGCCUGGGGAGUACGACCGCAAGGUUG